This 240-nucleotide unclassified non-coding RNA is filed under the name soil metagenome. RNAcentral describes it as "partial contains 5.8S ribosomal RNA, internal transcribed spacer 2, and large subunit ribosomal RNA". The record is from RNAcentral.
AACAUCGCGCACCUGCGGGAACCUGCGGAAGGAUCAUUACACAAUAAACAUAUGUAGGCUGCACCGCCAACAGGCGGCAAGGCUGGAGUAUUUUAUUACCCUUGUCUUUUGCGCACUUGUUGUUUCCUGGGCGGGUUCGCCCGCCUCCAGGACCACAUGAUAAACCUUUUUUAUGCAGUUGCAAUCAGCGUCAGUACAACAAAUGUAAAUCAUUUACAACUUUUAACAAUGGAUCUCAGA